This 407-nucleotide ribosomal RNA is filed under the name uncultured bacterium. RNAcentral describes it as "partial 16S ribosomal RNA". It matches the Rfam family "Bacterial small subunit ribosomal RNA", at positions 30 to 526 of the family's 1533-position model. The record is from RNAcentral.
AUCGAACGCUAGCGGGAUGCCUUACACAUGCAAGUCGAACGGAGUGGCGAACGGGCGAGUAAUGAAUCGGAACGUGCACAGCAGCGGGGGAUAACUACGCGAAAGCGAAGCUAAUAUCGCAUACUAUUUGAGCGGCCGAUUUCGGAUUAGCUGGUUGGUGGGGUAACGGCUCACCAGGGCGACGAUCCGUAGGUGGUUUGCGAGGACGACUAGCCCCCCUGGGACUGAGACACGGCCCAGACUCCUACGGGAGGCAGCAGUGGGGAAUUUUGGGCAAUGGGGGAAACCCUGAUCCAGCGAUCCCGCGUGUGCGAUGAAGGCCUUCGGGUUGUAAAGCACUUUUGGCAGGAAAGCGGUACCUGCAGAAUAAGCACCGGCUAACUACGUGCCAGCAGCCGCGGUAAUAC